Hydra vulgaris (swiftwater hydra) is the source of this 531-nucleotide non-coding RNA. The record is from RefSeq and is a predicted model, not a curated record. NCBI's taxonomy places the organism in Eukaryota, Metazoa, Cnidaria, Hydrozoa, Anthoathecata, Hydridae.
AAACAUAUUUCUAAACUUGACGGAGAAAAUUGAAUUUGAUGAAGGAAUAACAGAAUUUUAAAUAAAAAAAGAACUAUCGUAAAAGCAAAAUGGAAUACAGCAAAAUUAAAGGUGGGAAACGGAAAACAUUUGUGUAUGUUGCAGGGGACUUUGGCUACAUCGAUAUGAAAAUGCCGAUUGAUUAGGAAGUUCAAGAAUUCAUUGAACAGGAACAAACUGUUGAUGAAAAAUCUCAAUCAAAUGGACAAGCUGCUGUGGUGGCAGACCAAUUGAAAAUGUCUGCAAAUUUUUCCUUGUCAACAAUCUUCAAGUUGUUGUUUUUCCUUGCCGCCAUCAUUUCCUAUGCCAGCAAUGUGCUGAAGCCAUUCAAAGUAGUGCUACUAAUCAAUGUCCAGUAUGCAGAGAACCAACAGCAGAUUUUAUAAAUGUGUUUAUUUAAUGUAUUAUUUAAUGUAAUAUUUAAUAUACUCUUGCAUAUAUUAAAAUUUUAAUUUACUUAACUGAUUCGAUUCUAGAAGAUUCUGUUCUAGA